AGAACAUGUAGUGUGCACAUAGGUCUUUAUAGCCAAAUAUACCUGUUUUUCUGUUUUGUUUUGUUUUUUUACAUGUGGAACAGAGUUGCUGUGAUAUUUCACCUACAGUUUCUAUUUUUUAACACCUUUAUACAUGCUUGAUGAAGGUCCGUUGUUGGGAUCAAAAUGCAUUAGAUUAUCUCUAAAUACAUGUGUUAUAUAUAUAAGCAGUAACAUGUCCCUAUUUGAAUAGGGUUUCAU
Pelobates cultripes (western spadefoot toad) is the source of this 240-nucleotide non-coding RNA. The record is from the annotation of a GenBank genome assembly. NCBI's taxonomy places the organism in Eukaryota, Metazoa, Chordata, Amphibia, Anura, Pelobatidae.